RNAcentral lists this ribosomal RNA (893 nucleotides) under Eleutherocaulis alte. Its description in RNAcentral is "Laevicaulis alte 16S ribosomal RNA". The stretch from base 343 to 590 matches the Rfam family "Archaeal large subunit ribosomal RNA", at positions 1787 to 2143 of the family's 2987-position model. The record is from RNAcentral. Lineage: Eukaryota; Metazoa; Mollusca; Gastropoda; Systellommatophora; Veronicellidae.
CCUUUAGCAUAAUGGUUGAACAAUUACCUAAUCUAAAUUUGAUUUCCCGAAAGUAACAAGAUUUAAUUAUAUUUUGGCUAUAUGUUUCAUUAUGCAGGCAAAAAUAAAAUUAGGAGUGAAAAGCUUUUCAUUUUUACUGAUAUCUGGAUGGCAGUGAAAUAUAUUUAGUAUAGUAAACAAAUAAAAACAUUUAUGUGUUUUUAUACCAAGAGAUUUUUUUUAAAGGAAAUUAUUACUUUUAGUUUUUAAUAAACAAAAAUAAUUUUGUUUUUAAUCCUGAUUUUUAACUGACAAAUGGUUUAAAUUUUUUACAGCUUUUUUAAAAUGUUUAAAUAAGUAUUAAUGUCUUAAUCUAUAGAGAGGAACUCGGCAAAACUUUUUUUCGACUGUUUACCAAAAACAUAGCUUGUAGUUUUUAAUUAUAAGUGACUUCUGCCCAAUGAUUUUUUUUUAAUGGCCGCAGUACCCUGACUGUGCUAAGGUAGCAUAAUAAGUUGGCUUUUAAUUGGAGUCUGGAAUGAAUGAAAUAACGGAAAAAAACUGUCUUUUUAUAGAUCUUAAUAAUUUUCUUAAAUGGUGAAAAUUCCAUUUUAAUAAAAUAGGACGAGAAGACCCUAAGAAUUUUUAAGAAAAAUUUUAGAUAAAUUUUAAUUUUUAGCUGGGGCGGCUUAAGACCAAAAUUAAACGUCUUAAAAUAUUUAUCUGUUUUUAACAGUUCUGAUUAAUAUUACCUUAGGGAUAACAGCAUAAUUUUGUUUUUAGUUUGUGACCUCGAUGUUGGACUAGGAUAAUUAUGAUUAAAAGUCUAAAGAUUUUGUUCUGUUCGAACACUUUUUCCUACGUGAUCUGAGUUCAGACCGGCGUAAGCCAGGUCAGAUUCUAUCCUUUUUUUG